This is a long non-coding RNA of Acanthochromis polyacanthus (spiny chromis), 3464 nucleotides long. RefSeq lists it as uncharacterized. NCBI's taxonomy places the organism in Eukaryota, Metazoa, Chordata, Actinopteri, Pomacentridae. The record is from RefSeq and is a predicted model, not a curated record. The transcript has 3 exons.
CAUACUAAACUAUGAUGUUUUUCCAACAUAAUAAACUACGAUGUUUCUCCAACAUACUAAACUACGAUGUUUUUCCAACAUAAUAAACUACGAUGUUUCUCCAACAUACUAAACUACGAUGUUUUUCCAACAUACUAAACUACGAUGUUUUUCCAACACACUAAACUACGAUGUUUCUCCAACAUACUAAACUACGAUGUUUUUCCAACAUGCUAAACUAUGAUCUUUUUCCAACAUGCUAAACUACGAUGUUUCUCCAACAUACUAAACUACGAUGUUUUUCCAACAUGCUAAACUACGAUGUUUCUCCAACAUACUAAACUACGAUGUUUCUCCAACAUACUAAACUACGAUGUUUUUCCAACAUGCUAAACUACAAUCUUUUUCCAACAUACUGAACUACGAUGUUUCUCCAACAUGCUAAACUACGAUGUUUCUCCAACAUACUAAACUACGAUGUUUCUCCAACAUACUAAACUACGAUGUUUUUCCAACAUGCUAAACUAUGAUCUUUUUCCAACAUACUGAACUACGAUGUUUUUUCAACAUGCUAAACUACGAUCUUUUUCCAACAUACUAAACUACGAUCUUUUUCCAACAUACUAAACUAAGAUGUUUUUCCAACAUGCUAAAUUACGAUGUUUCUCCAACACGCUAAACUACGAUGUUUCUCCAACAUACUAAACUAUGAUGUUUCUCCAACACGCUAAACUACGAUGUUUUUCCAACAUACUAAACUAUGAUGUUUUUCCAACAUACUAAACUACGAUCUUUUUCCAACACGCUAAACUACGAUGUUUCUCCAACAUACUAAACUACGAUGUUUUUCCAACAUGCUAAACUAUGAUCUUUUUCCAACAUGCUAAACUACGAUGUUUCUCCAACAUACUAAACUACGAUGUUUUUCCAACAUGCUAAACUACAAUCUUUUUCCAACAUUCUAAACUACGAUGUUUUUCCAACAUGCUAAACUACGAUGUUUCUCCAACAUACUAAACUACGAUGUUUCUCCAACAUACUAAACUACGAUGUUUUUCCAACAUGCUAAACUACAAUCUUUUUCCAACAUACUGAACUACGAUGUUUCUCCAACAUGCUAAACUACGAUGUUUCUCCAACAUACUAAACUACGAUGUUUCUCCAACAUACUAAACUACGAUGUUUUUCCAACAUGCUAAACUACGAUCUUUUUCCAACAUACUGAACUACGAUGUUUUUUCAACAUACUAAACUACGAUGUUUUUCCAACAUGCUAAACUACGAUGUUUCUCCAACAUGCUAAACUACGAUGUUUCUCCAACAUACUAAACUACGAUGUUUCUCCAACAUGCUAAACUACGAUCUUUUUCCAACAUACUGAACUACAAUGUUUUUUCAACAUGCUAAACUACGAUCUUUUUCCAACAUACUAAACUACGAUCUUUUUCCAACAUACUAAACUAAGAUGUUUUUCCAACAUGCUAAAUUACGAUGUUUCUCCAACACGCUAAACUACGAUGUUUCUCCAACAUACUAAACUAUGAUGUUUCUCCAACACGCUAAACUACGAUGUUUUUCCAACAUACUAAACUAUGAUGUUUUUUCAACAUACUAAACUACGAUGUUUUUCCAACAUGCUAAACUACGAUGUUUCUCCAACAUGCUAAACUACGAUGUUUCUCCAACAUACUAAACUACGAUGUUUCUCCAACAUGCUAAACUACGAUCUUUUUCCAACAUACUGAACUACAAUGUUUUUUCAACAUGCUAAACUACGAUCUUUUUCCAACAUACUAAACUACGAUCUUUUUCCAACAUACUAAACUAAGAUGUUUUUCCAACAUGCUAAAUUACGAUGUUUCUCCAACACGCUAAACUACGAUGUUUCUCCAACAUACUAAACUAUGAUGUUUCUCCAACACGCUAAACUUCGAUGUUUUUCCAACAUACUAAACUAUGAUGUUUCUCCAACAUGCUAAACUACGAUCUUUUUCCAACAUGCUAAACUACGAUAUUUCUCCAACAUACUAAAAUACGGUUUCUCCAACAUGCUAAACUACGAUGUUUCUCCAACAUGCUAAACUAAGAUGUUUUUCCAAUAUGCUGAACUACGAUCUUUUUCCAACAUGCUAAACUAUGAUCUUUUCCCAACAUGCUAAACUACGAUAUUUCUCCAACAUACUAAAUUACGAUGUUUUUCCAACAUGCUAAACUACAAUGUUUUUCCAACAUUCUAAACUACGAUGUUUCUCCAGCAUACUAAAUUACGAUGUUUUUCCAACAUGCUAAACUAGCAAACCCCUCAGAGAGCUCAGUCCUCCUCCAAAGCUGCUCGGUCGUAUCGUUUCCAGCGGCUGAAAUCUUGAAAAAUUUGGUGGCAGAAAUCAUGUGUCUGUUUAAUGCAGACGUAGCCUCAAACUAAAUGACCUGCGCUGAGCACAGGCGUGUGCUUUGUUCAUUUUAUAGAAACUGGCCAGAUGUCUGCACAAACUGGUGUAAAACCUGCAGCGAGGGCAGCCGGGUCGAGGCUGAACUAAACGGAGACGUGACUUUAUUUAGAGGAAAAGAUGCUUUGAAACCUUCGGGCCUGAUUUUCUUCAGCUUCCUGUACAGAUUCUGAAAAUGCAAAGUGACAAUGGAUGGAUUUUAGCAGAAUUAAAGGAGCAGAUGUCGUUCCUUUUUUGAUUCAUCCAGCAGAAACUCCAGCCCGUCUUCAGACCAGACGCUGUGUGACCCUGAAAGUGAUCAGCGGUUGUUUUAAAUCGUGAGGAGCUUCAGAGACGAGGCUCAGCGGGGAUGGAAGCCUUCAGACUGGAAACAUUCAGCUGAUUCUGCACCUCGGAGAGUUGGAGUGUUGUUGUUUUAGACACUGACCCACAAACCCCAAACAGUGGGAGGAUGUUCAGAGCGAGCCGGGCCACCCACAGGACCAGGAAACAGCAGAAACACCGGCUGAAAAUCAGUCCAAGCGGAAAGAAUCUCAGUGAGAGCGUGAAGAAUCAGCGAUGUGGAGAAAGAGGAGGAGGCGCUGGUCUCACCUUGAUGAUGUCACCGCUGCUUCUGACUGCAUCGAUCAGGACGGUAUGUAGGGAUGAAGACUUCCACCUACACGUGGUGGACUGUCAGCAUUGCUCUGCUGCUCUGUUAGCUUCCUGACCUCCAGCAGCACCUCCAGCCUCCAGCAGCUUCCAGAGGAGAACCAGCGGAACAAGGAUUCCAUCUGAAGACCCCUCUGGUGAAAAUCUACUUUCUAACCUGGCUAACGUGGAGUUUCUGGACCACAUACCAUGGGCGAUGUUAGCCGUCAGCUAAGCUAAGCGCGACAUCCCAUCAGAGGUCACCUAGGUUAAGCUGGACUUUAUAGACGCUCUUCAACGUUCUCCAGUUCCUCCUGGAGGAUCUGGAGGCGUUCCUAGGCCAGAUGAGAUACAAGGGUCAUGUCAGACCUGGAGGACAUGUUUGAAAAAUAAACCUUCUCUUUUCCA